ACUGUGGAACUGCCUUUGAUACUGUCAGUCUAGAGUAUAGUUGAAGUUGGCGGAAUGUGUCAUGUAGCGGUGAAAUGCUUAGAUAUGACACGGAACACCGAUCGCGAAGGCAGCUAGCUAAGCUAUAACUGACGCUCAUGCACGAAAGCGUGGGGAUCAAACAGGAUUAGAUACCCUGGUAGUCCACGCUGUAAACGAUGAUUACUCGAUGUUGGCGAUACACAGUCAGCGUCUGAGCGAAAGCAAUAAGUAAUCCACCUGGGGAGUACGAUCGCAAGAUUGAAACUCAAAGGAAUUGACGGGGGCCCGCACAAGCGGAGGAGCAUGUGGUUUAAUUCGAUGAUACGCGAGGAACCUUACCUGGGCUCGAACGUAAGAUGACUGUAGGUGAAAGCUUACAUCUCUUCGGAGCAUUUUACGAGGUGCUGCAUGGUUGUCGUCAGCUCGUGCCGUGAGGUGUCGGGUUAAGUCCCAUAACGAGCGCAACCCCUACCUUUAGUUGCCAUCAGGUCAUGCUGGGGACUCUAAAGGAACUGCCUACGCAAGUAGUGAGGAAGGCGGGGAUGACGUCAAAUCAGCACGGCCCUUACGUCCAGGGCUACACACGUGCUACAAUGGCCGAUACGGAGGGCAGCUACCUGGUGACAGGAUGCAAAUCUCCAAAGUCGGUCUCAGUUCGGAUCGGAGUCUGCAACCCGACUCCGUGAAGUUGGAUUCGCUAGUAAUCGCGCAUCAGCCAUGGCGCGGUGAAUACGUUCCCGGGCCUUGUACACACCGCCCGUCAAGCCAUGGAAGCUGGGGGGACCUAAAGUCGAUAACCGCAAGGAGUCGCCUAGGGUAAAACCAGUGACUGGGGCUAAGUCGUAACAAGGUAGCCG
RNAcentral lists this ribosomal RNA (878 nucleotides) under uncultured Lentimicrobium sp. RNAcentral describes it as "bacterial SSU rRNA". It matches the Rfam family "Bacterial small subunit ribosomal RNA", at positions 612 to 1502 of the family's 1533-position model. The record is from RNAcentral. Lineage: Bacteria; Pseudomonadati; Bacteroidota; Bacteroidia; Bacteroidales; Lentimicrobiaceae.